UACACAAAGCAGAUGGCUACUGCCAGUGGGUGUGAAGAUGGGGACCAUGGCAAAAGAGUAGGGUCUUCUGGGGUCCAGUUGCUUCUUCUGCUAAAGAAGGGAAGGAGACACAGCAGGACAAAGGAGGAAGGAAAAGCAGGGACAAGGCUGGUGAAGGGCGUGAAUCCAUCUUUUGUUGUCAAAGUCUACUAACAAGUUUUAUUUUUAACCAUACACCAGACGGUACAGAGAAAAAAAUACAAACGGCUACAGCAGUUCAUGCAACAGAAGGUAUGCAUUUUACUCACUCUUACCAAAUUAAACCAAGG
Pelodiscus sinensis (Chinese soft-shelled turtle) is the source of this 308-nucleotide non-coding RNA. The record is from RefSeq and is a predicted model, not a curated record. NCBI's taxonomy places the organism in Eukaryota, Metazoa, Chordata, Testudines, Trionychidae.